CAAGGCGCAGUCAGCACGAGACGGCGGGAGGCGGCGAGCAGCGGGGAAAAUCGAUGCUCGUAGAGAGGCGGAGCGGCAUAGAAGCGGCAAGCCGGCUUGUGGAGUGGCGAUGAAGGCGGCCUGCGAGCUACGGCGGGUUGGGCCAAGGCGAGGUUCAGCAACGCAAGGCGGCUCAGAGGCGGCAAAAGGGCGCUGGCGAGAGGAGACUGCAGCCAUGGCCGAGGCGCGACUCGCGAUGGAGGCGGGCAGCUGGAGGCCGCUCCGGCGAGGGUAGCUCGGAGGCAGGCAACUUGGCACGGCCGUGGGAGUGGCGAUUCAGAGGUGUCUCGGGGCCGGCUCGAAAUGCGGGUCAGAAGUGGCGAGUCGUCGACUACGGCUUGGAAGCGAGGGCAAGGACAUUUUUGGAUGGGGCAACGACGGAGAUUUGCUGGCGCGACGGCUCGUGGAAGCGGCGGGUCAACGAGGUGACAAGGCCGCGGAAGAGGCAAAGCGCGGCUGCGGAGGCCGCUUUGAAGGCGGAACCAAGCGAGGGCGGCUCGAGGCCGCGUGGUCGCAAUGGCGGAGAGGCGAGUCAGCCACGGUCGUGGCUGCGGGGCGGCGGCUCGAGGUCGGCCGCGGCAGGGCGAGCUGCUUCGGAGGCGAUGGCAGCUCAAAGGCAACACUAGUGACCUCAAGGCAGGUUGUCCGCGUGUGGAGGUGAUGCAGGGCGGCUCAGAGGCCAUCACAGAGGAGCAGGGGCGACUGAAGUAUACCCGCGGCGGUGGCUUGUUGUCGGCCAGCCGUCGGAGGCGGGACCACGAGGUCAAGUGUGACGGCAGUUUGGUGGCAGAGGGCCGGAACCCGCGGGUGAGUGGUAGGAGGCCGAGCUUUGGGCGGGUGAUGUAGAACAGGGCGCGGCGAGCCAGCGGCGACUUGAAGAAGCCGCAGAGUUGAUGACUUGCGGUUGGGGGCGCGGCCGUUGACCCGGUGGCAGAGACGAAUAGCAGCAAUGGGUUGACGUACGGCGGUGGCGGCAGAAGCUCGUCAUACGGCGGCUUGAGACAGCUGUGGAAGCGGGACCGGCGACUCAGAGCGCCGGCUUAAAGGCGCGGCAAUGAGGGUGGAGCUCCGUCAGCAACUCAAAGGCGAGCGGCCGUCGAGGCGGCUCAAGGUGAUGGUGGCGGCUUGGCGCGGCCAUGGUGGCUUGAUGGUGUGGGCGGCUUAGAGGCAGCCCAGCGGCGGGUUGCUUGAGGCAGCGGCGGCUUGCAAGCGACAGGCGGGCGGCUUGCAACAAACAGAGAUUGCUCAACGAGGAGCGGCUCGGUGUGAGACACGUCCGCAGCGGCAAGACGACAUACUGGAGGCCAAGACCAGUUUGGGGUCACAACGGAGGUGGAUCAAGGCGGCAGUGAAUUGGUGAGGCAAGCCAUGGUGGCUGCGGGUCAGCAACGCAGGGCCGACAACACGGCGAGUCAUAGCAGUGUGGUUGAGGAUAAAUGCUUUUUCAUUUGCGUUCUGUUCACAGCGCGAAUCGCGUCCGUCUGCUCUCACUGGGAUCCACGCCGGCUGGUCCACCCAGGGCCCACUGCCAGCAGUCCUAUUUUUCUAUUUCACUCGGCUAUACGGCUGCAACACAGUCAAAUCGUAUCUACUUUAUUCCUACCUGAGCCUACUUCAGCCCGUGACUACUACCCCCUCUCUGUUAUCUCCGAGACCAGAUCCAAUCGGCCCACCCCUCCUAUCCCCUCCAUAGCCAGCCACCGUCGCGAUUUGGAGGCCUCCGACCAGAUCUUCCUCCCAACCACGACUUGGGAGGCGUGGCCCCCGGCUUUGCUGGCGUGCUGGCCGUCGAGCGAGCCCCACCACGGUGACAAGCCGACCACCACCACCUUCUCCUUCCUGUCCUCCGGCCAGAUCCACCUGGUGCCCCUCCGACGAGCUUGACGCCCAUAUCCAUUCCGAGCAAGCGUUGUGGUCUUGCAAAUUUAGUGCGACUACCUACAGGCCGGUGUGGUGGAUCUUGGAUCAUGUAUAACUCCAGCCAUGCAAUUUUGUUGUCGGUGUCAUCAAUUUUUCAUAAUUUGUUUGUUUCUUCCAGCUCUCCUCUCCACCAGCAUAUUCCUGUCUUUCUUUUUAUAAAACUCCUGUGCUACUACGAUGGAUCUUGGAUCUUGUAGAAUGCCAUCACUUGCGACUUUUGUUGCCGGUUGUUCGAUGAUAUGGAUUUGUGCUACAGGUUGGAGACCUCAGAUUUUAUUUUCUGGUCUCCCUUGUAUUCUCGUCUGUGCAUCCCUCCGGCCGCUGCUGUCAAAGGAAAUUGAUGCAUGUACGUGCUCUCGUGUGUGCAUAUCCAGAUUCUUCGUGUGUGCAUAUCCAGAUUCUUGUAUGCCUUGUAUACCUUUCUGUUAGUUGAAGUGAACAACUUUUUAGUCAUCUAAUUCAAAUGUUACUCAACAGUGAGGAACUAUUUA
Molecule: long non-coding RNA, 2450 nt
Organism: Triticum aestivum (bread wheat)
Lineage: Eukaryota; Viridiplantae; Streptophyta; Magnoliopsida; Poales; Poaceae
Exons: 2
Source: RefSeq, a predicted model, not a curated record